GUCCAUGACUUGUUGGCUUCAAUACACCCAAUCCUAUCAGAUCUUGGAGGCUCAAGCAGAUUUGAGCUCAGGUCAUACUUGGAUGGGAGACUCGAAUAAGAUAUUGGUGUUGUAGCUU
Molecule: ribosomal RNA, 118 nt
Filed under: Eptatretus burgeri (inshore hagfish)
Lineage: Eukaryota; Metazoa; Chordata; Myxini; Myxiniformes; Myxinidae
Source: RNAcentral